RNAcentral lists this ribosomal RNA (456 nucleotides) under uncultured bacterium. RNAcentral describes it as "partial 16S ribosomal RNA". It matches the Rfam family "Bacterial small subunit ribosomal RNA", at positions 30 to 507 of the family's 1533-position model. The record is from RNAcentral.
AACGAACGCUGGCGGCAGGCUUAACACAUGCAAGUCGAACGCCCCGCAAGGGGAGUGGCAGACGGGUGAGUAACGCGUGGGAACAUACCCUUUCCUGCGGAAUAGCUCCGGGAAACUGGAAUUAAUACCGCAUACGCCCUACGGGGGAAAGAUUUAUCGGGGAAGGAUUGGCCCGCGUUGGAUUAGCUAGUUGGUGGGGUAAAGGCCUACCAAGGCGACGAUCCAUAGCUGGUCUGAGAGGAUGAUCAGCCACAUUGGGACUGAGAAACGGCCCAAACACCUACGGGAGGCAGCAGCAGGGAAUCUUCCGCGAGGGACGCAAGUCUGACGGAGCAACACCGCCUGAGGGAAGAAGUGCGCCGGAGCGGAAAGCGCUGUUGUUAGAGAAGAAAAGCGCAUAUAGUAACGGCGAGGAGUGUGACGGUAGCGAACCAGAAAGCCACGGCUAACUACGUG